UACAGAAACUGGAAGCCUUCAUUGCAAGAAACUCGAUUAGGGCGCGAAUGAAGAGACGGCACAGAGGAGCCUCUAUGGUGAAUAUGCUGAGGUUCUUCUGGUGAAAUCCUUGAAGUUCCACAUCGAAUUGAUCCUCCGUUGGAGCUUAGGUAUUUCGCGUACGUUAGGAGGAGGAAGGCUGCUGAAGUUACAUAUUGCAGGUUAAGCUGAUGAGUAACUACGCCCUCCAAGAAGCUUAUGCUGAAACUGAUGUUCUUGCUAGAGACGAAUAUGGGAGGAGUUAGCAACAAAGAAUGGCUUACAUUUUGCACUGUUAGGUGAGAUUUAGUUGAGGUACGCACAAGCUCGUCCAAAUAUUUAGGAGUCAUCAUUUGUCGGAUGGUGUUGAUUUUAGGCUUAAAUUGAUAUAAAAAUUUGAUAUGUUUGGUUUCCGUUCAGGGUUAUGUGAAGCUGACCGACCACGUUGGUCCUUGGUCUUCUAUAAACUUUGUAAUCUACUCGUUUUGUUAGAGUAAUAGUGCUUUGUAUCGAGCGAAUAUUGAAAGAUUUGGAAAAAAACAUACGUUUUUAUGCACAAAUUUAG
Cucurbita pepo subsp. pepo (vegetable marrow) is the source of this 583-nucleotide long non-coding RNA. RefSeq lists it as uncharacterized. NCBI's taxonomy places the organism in Eukaryota, Viridiplantae, Streptophyta, Magnoliopsida, Cucurbitales, Cucurbitaceae. The record is from RefSeq and is a predicted model, not a curated record.